UACAGAGGUCCCAAGCGUUGUUCGGAUUCACUGGGCGUAAAGGGUGCGUAGGCGGUCGGGUAAGUCUGAUGUGAAAUCUCACAGCUUAACUGUGAAACUGCAUUGGAUACUAUCCGGCUAGAGGAAUGGAGGGGAGACUGGAAUACUUGGUGUAGCAGUGAAAUGCGUAGAUAUCGGGAGGAACACCAGUGGCGAAGGCGAGUCUCUGGGAUGAUGCUGACGCUGAGGCGCGAAAGCCAGGGGAGCAAACGGG
RNAcentral lists this ribosomal RNA (253 nucleotides) under uncultured bacterium. RNAcentral describes it as "partial 16S ribosomal RNA". It matches the Rfam family "Bacterial small subunit ribosomal RNA", at positions 524 to 776 of the family's 1533-position model. The record is from RNAcentral.